AUCCCUGUAGCGCAAUGGAUAGCGCGUUGGAAAUAUAAUCUAAAGGUCGUGGGUUUGAAUCCCACCUGAAAUG
This is a non-coding RNA of Trichonephila clavata, 73 nucleotides long. NCBI's taxonomy places the organism in Eukaryota, Metazoa, Arthropoda, Arachnida, Araneae, Nephilidae. The record is from the annotation of a GenBank genome assembly.